RNAcentral lists this ribosomal RNA (497 nucleotides) under uncultured bacterium. Its description in RNAcentral is "partial 16S ribosomal RNA". It matches the Rfam family "Bacterial small subunit ribosomal RNA", at positions 28 to 507 of the family's 1533-position model. The record is from RNAcentral.
GACGAACGCUGGCGGCGUGCCUAAUACAUGCAAGUUGAGCGAUGAAGAUUGGUGCUUGCACCCAUUUGAAGAGCAGCGAACGGGUGAGUAACGCGUGGGGCAUCUGCCUUUGAGCGGGGGACAACAUUUGGAAACGAAUGCUAAUACCGCAUAAUAACUUUAAACAUAAGUUUUAAGUUUGAAAGAUGCAAUUGCAUCACUCAAAGAUGAUCCCGCGUUGUAUUAGGUAGGUGGUGAGGUAAAGGCUCACCAAGGCGAGGAUACAUAGUCGACCUGAGAGGGAGGUAGGGCAAAAUGGGACUGGGACACGGGCCAAACUCCUACGGGGGGGAGCAGUAGGGAAUCUUCGGAAAAGGACGAAAGGCUGACCGAGCAACGCCGCGUGAGUGAAGAAGGUUUUUGGAUCGUAAAAGUCUGUUGGUAGAGAAGAACGUGGGUGAGGGUGGAAAGCUCAUCAAGUGACGGUAACUAACCAGAAAGGAACGGCUAACUACGUG